Molecule: small nucleolar RNA, 130 nt
Organism: Mastomys coucha (southern multimammate mouse)
Lineage: Eukaryota; Metazoa; Chordata; Mammalia; Rodentia; Muridae
Product: small nucleolar RNA SNORA17
Exons: 1
Source: RefSeq, a predicted model, not a curated record
UCUAUCCUUAGAAGUAUUAUAGGUGUGGCUGCUGUGUCACAUAUGCAUCCUUAGGUGGCAGACAGAAGGGAUGCUGUCUUUGUUUACCGUUCUGACCUCUGAACAUCUGAAUGAUUAGUAACCUAAAAUU